RNAcentral lists this long non-coding RNA (206 nucleotides) under Trifolium pratense (red clover). RNAcentral describes it as "long non-coding RNA (TPRA_LNC004246)". Lineage: Eukaryota; Viridiplantae; Streptophyta; Magnoliopsida; Fabales; Fabaceae. The record is from RNAcentral.
CACUCUGUGAGAACACCAAAGUAUGAAUUUUCCAUCGCAACAUCAUCGGAACCGGCUUGUUCAUCGCACUGUGUCAAAACUAUGAAACCGAUCGGAACCUAUGUUGCACUGUGUGAUUGUUGGGUCCCUCAUUCAUCUCUAUUACUUGCAAGUUGAACCUCAGAACAUGCUUUGUUUCAUACGGUAAUUUUUUUUAUUAUCCAACA